This 504-nucleotide ribosomal RNA is filed under the name uncultured bacterium. RNAcentral's name for it is "partial 16S ribosomal RNA". It matches the Rfam family "Bacterial small subunit ribosomal RNA", at positions 30 to 523 of the family's 1533-position model. The record is from RNAcentral.
AUUGAACGCUGGCGGCACGCCUAACACAUGCAAGUCGAGCGGUAACAUGAUUUGUAGCAAUACAAGUUGAUGACGAGCGGCGGACGGGUGAGGAACACGUAGGAACCUGCCCUUUAGCGGGGGACAACCAAGGGAAACUUUGGCUAAUACCGCGUAAUCUCGAGAGAGGAAAGCUGCCCGCAAGGGCGGCGCUAAAGGAGGGGCCUGCGUCCGAUUAGCUAGUUGGUGAGGUAAAGGCUCACCAAGGCGAUGAUCGGUAACUGGUCUGAGAGGACGACCAGUCACACUGGGACUGAGACACGGCCCAGACUCCUACGGGAGGCAGCAGUGGGGAAUAUUGGACAAUGGGGGCAACCCUGAUCCAGCGAUGCUGCGUGGGUGAAGAAGGCCUUCGGGUUGUAAAGCCCUUUAGGUCGGGAAGAAGGACGAUUAGUUAAUAGCUAGUUGUUUUGACGGUACCGACAGAAUAAGCACCGGCAAACUCUGUGCCAGCCGCCGCGGUAA